GAAUUACGAAUUUCACCUGCUGACCACUGUCCAUUAUGUGGUGUUUAGUACGUCAUAUCACAAUUGUAGGUUAUUUUUUAUAUAUGCUGGAUUAUUAGGUCACUUCUUCCGAUGCUCUCUUAUAUUAUGUUUGCAUUUCAUUUCAGAAAAGCUGAUCUCAUGUGGAUUUUAUGGUAAAUCAUACAAUAAAUUUAUGUUAUCUCGGAAGUACUAACUUCUACAGUAUAGUAGCAAGUCAAGCUAGAAGGUGAAGCAGCACAACGCAAUGUUAGGAGAUGGGUUAAUGAAUAUUAUUUUUGUGGUAACCGAUGGCCUGCUCCCUUAAGUGGAAGGGGAAUAUGUUUGACGGAGAUGGAUAGGCAUUGUGUGGUAUAAUGGAAGGAGGCGCAGAUGUGGACACCCGAGUCGUUCACGGUGCCGACACAGUCAUCCUCGCCCUUGGCGAGUACGAGGCGUUGCUAAACCACCUGACUGAGACACCCAGGAACCAAAGUGUCUUCUCCCAGCCGGUCAGGAGGAAAGGCGCAGGACGGUGCCGGAGCUGACCUCACACCUAGGACUUUGCCGGGGUUGGCCCUCUCGCAGGUGCCUAGACUCUCCUCUUCCUCCCUUGCUUUCACUCUUCUUUUUUAAUUCCUAGAACAUAUCGUCUUUGUGUGUGCAGAUACUUUCUUUUAUCUGUUCGUUUUCCUCAUUUUUGUGCAACUGAAUUAUAUUAAUAUUUGAUGGAUUUAUAUUGAGAAAUUUAAGCAUUUGUAGAUCCAUGAACACGCCCUCCUAAUUUUCACUAACGGGUUAUUGCAACAAGGUCGUAACUUGGAAAAGAGAAGCUCUCUCUGUGUGAAUUAUUUGCCUAUUUGACUAGCAUACCAAUUCUGGGAUAUUGUUUGGACUUGGGACAUUGGGAAGGAGCAUGUUAAUUUGUUCGAUGAACAAUUAAGUAAGUUGCUAUACAUUUGAAAGCUUGAUCAGAAGGAACUGGACAGAUAAAUCUUGAGUGUAUGCCCAUUUCUUUUGUGUAUUUUUAUUUAUUCUGUAUUUGGUUCAGUUAUUGCAGCCAGUAGCGGACUGCAAUUUAACCUGAGCAUUACACCAUUCUCUCGUAAAAAAUCAAUUCCAGGAACAGUAACAUGAGAAGAUAUGCAAAUUUUUCAAAUGCAGUUCGGAGAACGCCACCUAUUCUCACAAAACUUACUACAUCCUGCGCUUGGAGCAUUUGCUCCCAUUGCUCACAACCUGUUCAAUGAGCAGUUGGAUCUCCAAUAAUAGGUCAGCCUCUCUCUGGUCCAUGUCAUCAAGCAGGCUUAUAAUUAGAUAAAGCCAAUAUUAGGUAACUUGUGGUGCAUAUUCAGUGUGCUUCCCUAUUAAAUAGUUGCAACUGAAAAUAAAAGCACAAAUGGUUUAGGGAGUUGAAGACUUACAAACCUGGCUCUGUGUUCAAUGUGGUUCCUAUGGUGUUGGGGACUUUGUACCACAAAUAUUGCAGGUUGUUUCGCGUAUUAGAAAGUUUAGCCAUAGUUUG
Molecule: long non-coding RNA, 1522 nt
Organism: Lolium perenne
Lineage: Eukaryota; Viridiplantae; Streptophyta; Magnoliopsida; Poales; Poaceae
Source: RefSeq, a predicted model, not a curated record